RNAcentral lists this small RNA (505 nucleotides) under Pan troglodytes (chimpanzee). Its description in RNAcentral is "retained intron". The record is from RNAcentral. Lineage: Eukaryota; Metazoa; Chordata; Mammalia; Primates; Hominidae.
CACACCCUGCGCGGGAAGGUGUAGCACGCUGGCUGUAAUUUCGAGAAGGCCGUGCAGCAUCGAGGACAGGAGGAACUGGAGCCUCAUUGGCCGGCCCGGGGCGCCGGCCUCGGGCUUAAAUAGGAGCUCCGGGCUCUGGCUGGGACCCGACCGCUGCCGGCCGCGCUCCCGCUGCUCCUGCCGGGUGAUGGAAAACCCCAGCCCGGCCGCCGCCCUGGGCAAGGCCCUCUGCGCUCUCCUCCUGGCCACUCUCGGCGCCGCCGGCCAGCCUCUUGGGGGAGAGUCCGUCUGUUCCGCCAGAGCCCCGGCCAAAUACAGCAUCACCUUCACGGGCAAGUGGAGCCAGACGGCCUUCCCCAAGCAGUACCCCCUGUUCCGCCCCCCUGCGCAGUGGUCUUCGCUGCUGGGUAAGUACAGCCCCCUCCUCGCCUCCUGCUCCACCAGGAGGGCUGCGGCGCCGGAGCCCCCCGCCCAGCUGCACGGCGGCACUUCCCAGUCUGGGGCG